This 350-nucleotide unclassified non-coding RNA is filed under the name soil metagenome. RNAcentral describes it as "partial contains 5.8S ribosomal RNA, internal transcribed spacer 2, and large subunit ribosomal RNA". The stretch from base 1 to 119 matches the Rfam family "5.8S ribosomal RNA", at positions 35 to 154 of the family's 154-position model. The record is from RNAcentral.
GAUGAAGACGUAGCGAAACGCGAUAUGUAAUGUGAAUUGCAGAAUUCAGUGAAUCAUCGAAUCUUUGAACGCACAUGGCGCCUUCCAGUAUCCUGGGAGGCAUGCCUGUCCGAGCGUCGUUUCAACCCUCGAGCCCCCGUGGCCCGGCGUUGGGGAUCUGCCACGGCAGGCCCCUAAAACCAGUGGCGGACCCGAAGGCCCUCUCCUUUGCGCAGUAGCAUCAGCCUCGCAUUGGGAUCCCUCGGCGUCCUGCCUCUAAACCCCCCACAAGUCCGCUCCGGCGGCACCAAGGUUGACCUCGGAUCAGGUAGGAAUACCCGCUGAACUUAAGCAUAUCAAUAAGCGGAGGA